CCGGCCCUUGAACUCUUCUGCGAACAAAUCGACGAUGGUCUUUCCCGCCCAACGAUUUUUAACAUAAGAAAUGAACUCGAAGUAGUAAGGUCUCACGUGCCGCCUCCCGUUGAGAAAGAUGUAAUCGUCUUUGUCCGGUGGGUUGGCUGGUGUUUGCCACACUAUCUCCAUCUCCUUUUCGUUUUCUUCUUCCCCGCCAGAAGUAGGUA
This 209-nucleotide unclassified non-coding RNA is filed under the name Hevea brasiliensis (rubber tree). Lineage: Eukaryota; Viridiplantae; Streptophyta; Magnoliopsida; Malpighiales; Euphorbiaceae. The record is from RNAcentral.